GGGUUGUGAGGUUAAGCGACUAAGCGUACACGGUGGAUGCCCUGGCAGUCAGAGGCGAUGAAGGACGUGCUAAUCUGCGAUAAGCGCCGGUAAGGUGAUAUGAACCGUUAUAACCGGCGAUUUCCGAAUGGGGAAACCCAGUGUGUUUCGACACACUAUCAUUACGUGAAUACAUAGCGUAAUGAAGCGAACCGGGGGAACUGAAACAUCUAAGUACCCCGAGGAAAAGAAAUCAACCGAGAUUCCCCCAGUAGCGGCGAGCGAACGGGGAGGAGCCCAGAGCCUGAAUCAGCAUGUGUGUUAGUGGAAGCGUCUGGAAAGGCGCGCGAUACAGGGUGACAGCCCCGUACACAAAAGCGCAUGUGCUGUGAGCUCGAUGAGUAGGGCGGGACACGUGGUAUCCUGUCUGAAUAUGGGGGGACCAUCCUCCAAGGCUAAAUACUCCUGACUGACCGAUAGUGAACCAGUACCGUGAGGGAAAGGCGAAAAGAACCCCGGCGAGGGGAGUGAAAAAGAACCUGAAACCGUGUACGUACAAGCAGUGGGAGCACAGGUUUACCUGUGUGACUGCGUACCUUUUGUAUAAUGGGUCAGCGACUUAUAUUCUGUAGCAAGGUUAACCGAAUAGGGGAGCCG
Molecule: ribosomal RNA, 636 nt
Filed under: Salmonella enterica
Lineage: Bacteria; Pseudomonadati; Pseudomonadota; Gammaproteobacteria; Enterobacterales; Enterobacteriaceae
Also listed under: 1 other name
Description: partial 23S ribosomal RNA
Rfam family: Bacterial large subunit ribosomal RNA
Source: RNAcentral